Molecule: long non-coding RNA, 835 nt
Organism: Brassica napus (rape)
Lineage: Eukaryota; Viridiplantae; Streptophyta; Magnoliopsida; Brassicales; Brassicaceae
Exons: 2
Source: RefSeq, a predicted model, not a curated record
AUAUGGUUCUUGCCAAAACGAAAACACCGUUGGUGUUCUAAGGUCAUGUGUUCUAUACACAACUUAUCAGCUAUCUGAACAGACGAUGCAAUACAUUAUUUAACCCAACAAUCCUAGACUACUUACAAACUAUUACUACUACAGGAACCGGGUGGAGUUUUCAGUCUUUGAUGGGUCAGAGUCAGCUGUCUUUGUGGCAUUUGAUGGUGAGAUGUGUAAGCUAACCAAUGCACAUCUUAUGGUGCAGGACACAGGUGUAGAGAGACACAACCGAAGAUCUCUCCCACAGUGUUUAAAGAACUUGGUUGGCAGUACUUUCACCUUCCAGUUGAGGCUAUCCCCAUUAAACUUCUCCCCAUUCCUUAACCAAUAGUUUGAAACAGUUCUAUGUAUAUUGUUUAUGUUGUUUACUUUUUUAUAAUGGUUCUUUGGCAGAGGGGUGAUAACAACCCAGGAGAUGACAUGCCCGGAGCUAGAGCAGUGGCUACUAAGCCCUCCAAAACCAUCACCAAAGUUCCCCUGCAAAAUCCGCUAGUUGGGUGCCUGUGGAGAGAUGCAGCUGCUCAAAGAGGCGUCCAUGCAACUGUUGCUGGUGAAGUAACUAAUGAGGAAGAAGGAGUGCAGGAGGAUAGGCGCAUUGGAAAAAAAACCACAAAAUUCUUAGUUUUCUAGCUUAACGAGUGGCCAAGUCUAUAAACCCUUGGAAUAAUGGUUUACGAUUUCAUUGUUUCCUUGCAUCUUUUCGUUGCUGGGUUUUUCACAUAUUAUUGUUGCUUGGUCUUGGUCACUAUGUUUCCUAUGGGGUCAACUUUUAAAAUAAACUCACAUUUUGAUA